AACGAACGCUGGCGGCAUGCCUAACACAUGCAAGUCGAACGAGACCUUCGGGUCUAGUGGCGCACGGGUGCGUAACGCGUGGGAACCUGCCCUUAGGUUCGGAAUAACUCCCCGAAAGGGGUGCUAAUACCGGAUAAUGUCUUCGGACCAAAGAUUUAUCGCCUUUGGAUGGGCCCGCGUUGGAUUAGCUAGUUGGUAGGGUAAAAGCCUACCAAGGCGACGAUCCAUAGCUGGUCUGAGAGGAUGAUCAGCCACACUGGGACUGAGACACGGCCCAGGCUCCUACGGGAGGCAGCAGUGGGGAAUAUUGGACAAUGGGCGAAAGCCUGAUCCAGCAAUGCCGCGUGAGUGAUGUAGGCCUUAGGGUUGUAAAGCUCUUUUACCCGGGAUGAUAAUGACAGUACCGGGAGAAUAAGCUCCGGCUAACUCCGUG
This 433-nucleotide ribosomal RNA is filed under the name uncultured bacterium. RNAcentral describes it as "partial 16S ribosomal RNA". It matches the Rfam family "Bacterial small subunit ribosomal RNA", at positions 29 to 507 of the family's 1533-position model. The record is from RNAcentral.